RNAcentral lists this long non-coding RNA (1462 nucleotides) under Bos grunniens (domestic yak). Its description in RNAcentral is "lncRNA (ENSBGRG00000009478.1)". Lineage: Eukaryota; Metazoa; Chordata; Mammalia; Artiodactyla; Bovidae. The record is from RNAcentral.
CUGUGUGGGCCCUGGGCCUGUGUCUCGGGCCUUGUUGGUGUUUCCAGUUGGGAGAGUCUCACCUCUGGCAUGACCCUCCACAGUGAUAGGCUCCUCACACAGGCCCUGGGGAGAGGUCCCUUUCCAUGGAUGUACCAAGGCUGACUAAGGAAAACUGGGGCUGCCGCUCCACAAGGAGCAGGGAGGAAGGCAAUCAGGACCUAAGGGGGUUCUUAACACAUCUUCUUGUGUGGUGUCAGUCAGGACACCACAAAGGUUAAUGUUAGGCCAACUACCACAACCCCACCCUAUGGGGGCCCCCAGGGUCACAGACUUCUGAGACAUCAUGACAGCUGAGGUGCUGGCUGAAGGCCAAGGGGGAACACAGAAUGACUGGGAGACGAAGUUAUAAAUAGCAGCUUGACCAGUUACAGGAAAAAAGGACUGUGGCUUCCACCACAGGUUUCUGUGCUUACAGUGAGAGAAAAAUCCUUUAUUUUUUAUCAAUUGGAAACUUUUUUGAUUUGACUUAUUUUGUUAACAGUCAUGGAAAAACACUGACACAGAAAAAAAUAUCAAGCAGAAUUAACUUAAAAAAAAAAAAAGCCCCAUUCCUUACUACUUUCUUCCAAGUCCCUUUUCCUCCCCAGAGGCAACCACUGCCAUCAGUUAGGUUUGCAGCCUUCCAGACACUUUUAUGCAUUUUCAUAUAUAGUUUGGUUUUAUAAGGUUUUAUUUUAUCAAUACAUCAAGAUUAUACAUAUUGCUCCACAAUAUGCUUUUUUUACUUAACAUUAUGUCUUGGAGAUCUUUCCAUAUCAGUGCAUACCAUUUUUAACUGCUGCAUAGUAUUAACUCCAUACAACUAAAAUAUCUAACUUGCUCUCAGGGACAUGCAUCACUUUACAUUUUGAAACCAAGCUACUCCCCAAACUGCCCUGAAAAGGCUGCUAUUGUUACAUUCACACCCACAGCACGAGUGCUGCCAUUUCUUCUCUUUGUAGUCCAAACUAGAUAUUAUCAUAAAGAAAAACUAUCACUUUCUGAUGGACACAAUCAGUUUCAUUGUCGCAUUAAUUCACACAGCACUGAUUGCCAGUGAGGUUGAUCGUUAGGGACACAAUCAGUUUCAUUGUCGAGUUAAUUUACACAGCACUGAUUGCCAGUGAGGUUGAUCGUUAGCAAUAGCCAAGCUGUUGAUGCUGAAAACAGCUCUCCAACUGUUGGGAGGAGUCUGAAUUAGUACAAUCACUUAGGACAGCAGUUUGGCAAUAUCUAGUUAGAAUGAAGAUGCUCUAACCCUAAGAUGCCCAAAUUUUACCUCCAUGUACUUACCCUAAAGAAAUUCACACAUGUGUACAGAGGAACAUCUUUUAAUUCUGUUCACUGUUGCAAAACACUGGGAAGAAACUAAAUACCCACCAGUGAGAGAAUAGAUAAAUAACUUGUGGUAAGUGUACAAUGGGAUAUUUAGUAUACAGCA